This 493-nucleotide ribosomal RNA is filed under the name uncultured bacterium. Its description in RNAcentral is "bacterial SSU rRNA". It matches the Rfam family "Bacterial small subunit ribosomal RNA", at positions 28 to 507 of the family's 1533-position model. The record is from RNAcentral.
GAUGAACGCUAGCGGCAGGCCUAACACAUGCAAGUCGAGGGGCAUCAUGGCGUAGCAAUACGCUGAUGGCGACCGGCGCACGGGUGCGUAACGCGUAUGGAACCUACCCACCGCAGGGGGAUAACCCGCCGAAAGGCGGACUAAUACCCCAUGGUUCCCCGACCCUGCCUGGGGUUGGGGGUAAAGCCUACGGGCGGCGGUGGAUGGCCCUGCGUGCCAUUAGCUGGCUGGUGGGGUAACGGCCCACCAGGGCGACGAUGGCUAGGGGGUCUGAGAGGACGAUCCCCCACACUGGAACUGAGACACGGUCCAGACUCCUACGGGAGGCAGCAGUGGGGAAUAUUGGACAAUGGGCGCAAGCCUGAUCCAGCAAUGCCGCGUGUGUGAAGAAGGCCUUCGGGUUGUAAAGCACUUUUAUCAGGAACGAAAAGCGUUGGAUUAAUACUCUGACGUGCUGACGGUACCUGAGGAAUAAGCACCGGCUAACUUCGUG